UGCCAGCCGCCGCGGUAAUACGUAGGAUCCAAGCGUUGUCCGGAUUUACUGGGUAUAAAGGGUGCGCAGGCGGGCAUAUACGUCAGGGGUUAAAUCCACCGGCUCAACCGGUGACCUGCCCUUGAUACGGUAUGUCUUGAGUGCGAGAGAGGAUGGUAGAAUUCCUGGUGUAGCGGUGAAAUGCGUAGAUAUCAGGAGGAAUACCAGUGGCGAAGGCGGCCAUCUGGCUCGCAACUGACGCUCAGGCACGAAAGCGUGGGGAGCAAACAGGAUUAGAUA
RNAcentral lists this ribosomal RNA (279 nucleotides) under uncultured bacterium. Its description in RNAcentral is "partial 16S ribosomal RNA". It matches the Rfam family "Bacterial small subunit ribosomal RNA", at positions 506 to 784 of the family's 1533-position model. The record is from RNAcentral.